GGGGGUGAAAGGCUUUCGACUUCGGUCGUCGCCGCGGGAGAAGCGAGCCGUGGUCUCCGGAGCCACGUUAAAGAGCCGGAACACUAAACAAACGCCGAGCCUGAGCUCGCGCUCGCGGCCUAAGACCUAGGUUGCGACGUCCACCCGGUCCCAGCCCCACGGACCGGUUCCGGGCGUCAUCUUGUGGGGCUUACCUGACGGUCCGGUCGGCGGGCCCGAAGGGACAUCUCAGCCGACUGAGGGCCUGCCGCCGGGGCCGGUGACGGCAGCGGGCUCGAGAUCUCUUCACCGGCUGCGCUCGGAGAAGUCCCGCCACGAGCCCGAAGGACGCGGGUUCGAUUCCCGCCACCUCCACCG
Molecule: transfer-messenger RNA, 357 nt
Filed under: Acidimicrobiales bacterium
Lineage: Bacteria; Bacillati; Actinomycetota; Acidimicrobiia; Acidimicrobiales
Rfam family: transfer-messenger RNA
About the family: Bacterial tmRNA, also known as 10Sa RNA or SsrA, is named for its dual tRNA and mRNA-like properties. Its role is to liberate the mRNA from a stalled ribosome.
Source: RNAcentral